ACUGACUUGUGGCAAAGAGGAGCUUAACAAAUCCAAAUCCAUAUGGUUUUCUGGUGAGAUUUUUCUACGUCAAAUUUAAUGGUGCCACAUUUAUUCUUACAUUAUAACCUCGUGAAAUUUUUACUCAAAUUAUGUUCGAUUAUUUUUCUUUUCUAAACAAAGUAUUCCUAGUUAGGUAGAAUAAUUUACUAAACUUGGUCAAAUGAUAUAAUCGUUCACCUAAAGCAUCUUAUGGUGACAUAUAGGAACCGCUUAACUAAUGUUUUAUUAUUGAAGCUUUUUAAUUAGGAUGUAUGGAUAAAAAUCAAAGCAAAAACUUUGCGGCUAGUUUCUUUAUGGGUUUUAUGAUAAUAUAAUCCACAUAUCUUUACUUUUUCACCGGCCAAAAUUGAUUAGGUCAUCCACAUCCGUAUCUUGAUGUGAUCAUAUCGAAAAUCAAGAACGUGAAUCAUUUUACCACCAAAGGUGAUCGUGGAAUGUCUGCAAGAGUUUGAAAGCAAUAGUUUAUUACAAAGAGUUGAAGAGAAGAAUCCGAAGCAAGUCAGUGUGUUAUAUGUUGGAGUCCUUGUCCAUAGAGACAAUAACGCAUAGUGGUAAUCUCGAGAAGCGGUUUAAUUCUAAUGAUAACUCCAAAUAAGGUUCAGAUUUUGGAGUAGUGAUCAAAGAUAAAUAUAAGAGAACCACCAGCAGUGAAAGAGCAAUACGAUGGUUAGACUACAAAAUACCAAGAUCAAAUCUCAUCCAAGUCCAACAAUUUUACUUUGAGUGUAGACCUGGUUGCAGAGAGAAGCAUGUUUAGAAACAAAUCAAGGAAGAACUUUAUCAAUGUCGAGAAGCUUGUUUCCUUCACAUAGACAUUACUGAUCAAGUGAUCAUAGAGCAUUCAAUUUCAGUUUUACAAUCACACAUGAUAUCUUCUUUCCUCUACAUCAAACCUAAGAAAAGGACAAAAACUUUGUACUCGUUACCUCUCGGUGUCGGAGUUUCCGUCCCUCGACGUGUUACAAAAUCAACCUCAAAAUUUAUUCUGGAGUAACAACAUAACAAC
Molecule: long non-coding RNA, 1048 nt
Filed under: Brassica napus (rape)
Lineage: Eukaryota; Viridiplantae; Streptophyta; Magnoliopsida; Brassicales; Brassicaceae
Description: long non-coding RNA (BNAP_LNC009646)
Source: RNAcentral